RNAcentral lists this ribosomal RNA (499 nucleotides) under uncultured bacterium. RNAcentral describes it as "partial 16S ribosomal RNA". It matches the Rfam family "Bacterial small subunit ribosomal RNA", at positions 28 to 523 of the family's 1533-position model. The record is from RNAcentral.
GAUGAACGCUAGCGGCAGGCCUAAUACAUGCAAGUCGAGGGGCAACAGGUGUAGCAAUACAUGCUGGCGACCGGCGCACGGGUGCGUAACACGUAUGUAAUCUACCCUUUACUGGAAGAUAGCCCGGAGAAAUUCGGAUUAAUACUCCAUAACACUAUAACAUGGCAUCAUGAAGUAGUUAAAGAUUUAUCGGUAAAGGAAGAGCAUGCGGCUGAUUAGACAGUUGGUGAGGUUACGGCUCACCAAGGCAACGAUCAGUAGGGGACCUGAGAGGGUUAGCCCCCACACUGGUACUGAGAUACGGACCAGACUCCUACGGGAGGCAGCAGUAGGGAAUAUUGGGCAAUGGAGGCAACUCUGACCCAGCCAUGCCGCGUGCAGGAAGACGGCCUUCUGGGUUGUAAACUGCUUUUGAUCGGGAACAAAGAGCCCUUGCGAGGGAAGUUGAGUGUACCGAUAGAACAAGCACCGGCUAACUACGUGCCAGCCGCCGCGGUAA